RNAcentral lists this long non-coding RNA (843 nucleotides) under Homo sapiens (human). RNAcentral's name for it is "HSALNT0036172". Lineage: Eukaryota; Metazoa; Chordata; Mammalia; Primates; Hominidae. The record is from RNAcentral.
CACCUUUGAGGCUGUUCGCAAGAUGACUCAUAAAAAUAGGGUAAAGUUUGUGAGGGCACAGAUGAAUCAGAACAGAUUCUAAAAGCUCAGAAAGCUCUUUCUUUAUAAAACUGUUGCUAAUUCAUGAGGGUUACAUUUUUGAAAUACAUUAAGUUCUCCUUCCCUUUUAAGUUCUCAGGCUUCUGGCUUCCCUGGGAAGAAGCAGUUUUACCUUCCCCUCUAGGCUUUCCUUGCUAAGUCACAGAAAACAGCCCUCACAAAGCCCACUCAUCCUAUAUUUAUUCUCCGUGUAUUUCCAGGGCUGUUGGUCCUCGGUGGUUUCCACUCGCUUGAUGUAACAGGAGCUCACCACAGAGACACCAGAAAAUGAACCAUUGGGGUCACCAGGACAAUGAGGAGCUGCUCUCACCACCGAGACACCAGAAAAUGAACCAUCGGGGUCACCAGGACAAUGAGGAGCUGCUCUCACCACCUGUCCUUGAUGACCAUGCUGACCUACGAGUCCCUGGAAAUGCUGCCCAGAGGGAACUGCAGAGUUGAGCCGUGGCCUCCAGUGCCAAGGCCCACCUGGUGUGAGCUGGGCUGGUCAGUGGACUCUUGAGGGGUGAUGGGAGCUUCCCAAACCCCCAACCAGACUCCCAUCUUCAGAUGCAAUCACUCCCCUCCUACACAUAUGGGGCCGAAUUCAGAGACACUGGGGUCACCUGCAAGGCCGAGAACAAGGCUUCUGCCUCCUAGACAGCAGGUGCUGAGGGCACAGCUAGGGGGACUGCGAGUGCUACCUGCAUCUGCUCAUGCAUCCCCUCCUGGUCACCUGCCAGGCAGUUGUCUAUGCAGACUGCC